Tripterygium wilfordii is the source of this 1674-nucleotide RNA transcript. It is a transcript of the gene named microtubule-associated protein 70-5-like, with no coding region annotated. The transcript has 3 exons. Lineage: Eukaryota; Viridiplantae; Streptophyta; Magnoliopsida; Celastrales; Celastraceae. The record is from RefSeq and is a predicted model, not a curated record.
ACAACUUCAAACCCAUUUAUUGGUUUAUAUUAUAUUUGAGUAUGAUCUUCUCCUACAACAUAUUCAACAAGUCCUGCCCCUGCUUUUUCUCCAUGUCCAUCAGUUGCCAACUGAGAAACUCCUCCAAAGGCGAUUAUCAUCACCAAUAGCACAGCUGUUGAGGCCAAAAGAGGCCAAAAAUAGACAAGGAUUGCGAGUAACCUCGGGGCAGCAUAUAAAAACAUGGAAAGUGCCAGUGAAGCAAUAAUCGCUGUUGCAAAAUGAUUUCUGUAUUGUAAGAUCUUCUCUCUGAUCUCCAUGAGGACACACAGACAAACACACCCAGAGAGAGAGAGAGAGAGAGAGAGAGAGAGAGACCAGAGUUGUUUAUGUUGGAAAUAACCGGUUUCAUUGAUUGUUUUUAAAGAUGGGUUUCUUCUUCAACUGCUAAUUCAAGAUAUGAGGAGAUUCUUUUUGUUUUCUGUGUAAUUAUACUCCCAUAUUCGAUUAUAAAAGUACCCUCCUCUCUAUAUUCCAAUUCUCGUUACCUAUACUGCAUUUCUGCUGCAUAUGAACAUAAGUUGAGAAGGGCAAAGCAGUAACUACAAGAAACCCAAAUGGAAUUUAUCUGGUAUAUAUGCUUUCUCCACCACUUUUCAUUGUUGUCUUUUAAUAGAAGAUUAGGACUUGGGGGAGGUUCUUCUUUUUUAUUCUUACAUGUGGUUAUAUGUUUUAUGAACAUAACUAGCUAAUGGAAGAAGAAAAUGAGUGGUAAUAUUUUGCUUCCAUUUUAUUCUCCUUAUUGAUGCCAACUGAUUGAAGAAAGAGGAAUAAAUUUUUGGGAAGAUUUUCAGAUACCACAAAUUUUUUCUGUCCACUUGAUAUUUCCUGUCCUAAUUUUUCCUUUUUAAGGGGAUAAAGAUGGUUCUUUUUCUGGUCCACCAAGCCGGAACCUUGCUUUAUGGGCAGCCGGCCUAUGAUAAUAUUGAUAUGUGCCUUUCUGAUUCUGCUUCACUGGAAGGGAAAGGCCAACGAAAUCCCUCUCUUUGCGGUCAGUUCCUUAAAGGAGAUGAAUUCUAUCAGUAUCUCUUACAAUACCAAACUCUUCUUAUGUUAUUCCGCCAUAAAACCCAGUUGUAUUUAGUUGCUGUUGUAUUGUUGUGUAAUGACUUCGAUCAUUGUGUAUUAUUCGUGUUUCAUAGCACUAAAAGAGAAGCAUGAAAAGGGAAAUGGUGGAUCAUGAGGAGCAACAACUUGGAGGAGGAGAAGACCUCUCUCUUGUUCACCCUGACCCUGUUGUGUUAGAGCUCAACCGACUCCAGAACCUACUCAAAGAUUUGAAUAUGGAUGGGGAAAACAUCGGACGGGGAAAAUGUUACUCUUGCAAGUGAAGAAAAAAGUGAACCAAUUGCCUUUGUAAGCUCCUGCUUUUUCUUUGGUUCUACAUUUUAACGUACUUUCUUGAUACAAUGAUCAUGAUACAUGGAUUUUGGAUUGAAUUUAAUGCAGGCAAUGCAGGAAGAGAACAAAAUCCUUGAGAAGACCAAUCGCCAAAAGGUUUUAGAGGUUGAAGAGCUCACCCAAACCAUUCAGGAACUUGAGGAGGCCAUUCUUGCUGGUGGGACUGCAGCAAAUGUAAUUCGAGACUAUCGACGACAGAUUUCCGAGCAGCAAGUUGAAAAGAGGACAUUGGAG